GAUGAACGCUGGCGGCGUGCUUAACACAUGCAAGUCGAACGAUGAAGCCCAGCUUGCUGGGUGGAUUAGUGGCGAACGGGUGAGUAACACGUGAGUAACCUGCCCUUAACUCUGGGAUAAGCCUGGGAAACUGGGUCUAAUACCGGAUAGGAGCGCCUACCGCAUGGUGGGUGUUGGAAAGAUUUUUCGGUUUUGGAUGGACUCGCGGCCUAUCAGCUUGUUGGUGAGGUAAUGGCUCACCAAGGCGACGACGGGUAGCCGGCCUGAGAGGGUGACCGGCCACACUGGGACUGAGACACGGCCCAGACUCCUACGGGAGGCAGCAGUGGGGAAUAUUGCACAAUGGGCGAAAGCCUGAUGCAGCGACGCCGCGUGAGGGAUGACGGCCUUCGGGUUGUAAACCUCUUUCAGUAGGGAAGAAGCGAAAGUGACGGUACCUGCAGAAGAAGCACCGGCUAACUACGUG
RNAcentral lists this ribosomal RNA (466 nucleotides) under uncultured bacterium. Its description in RNAcentral is "partial 16S ribosomal RNA". It matches the Rfam family "Bacterial small subunit ribosomal RNA", at positions 28 to 507 of the family's 1533-position model. The record is from RNAcentral.